AGAGACACUAUUACGAAAAUUGGGUAAGAUGAUCAACAUAAAUAAUCAUUAAUUUGUGAUAUACCUAUUGUCAGGUGUUUGUGAUUAAACUUAAUAAAACUAUUUUUUUUUGUUCACAGUCCAACAAGUAAUGAUGAAAUGUACAACUUAUAUAUUAUGUACUGAGUGGAAGCAGAGGUGAAUAGUCUACUGCUUACUGUUAAGUUUUCUAUGUAGGGACUUCUACAUGACAAAAUUGUAAUUAUUUUUAUCAAUUCACCACCUGAGUGGACAGUUUUCCAUUUAAUAGUGNAAAAAAUUAAAAAAAAAAAAAAAAAAAAAAAAAAAAAAACAUAGGAAGCUGAAUGAGAAAAUAUAAGAAUUGUAUAAAUAUCAUUAAAUCAUAUUAUCAUAAUGGUUCAACAUUGACAAAUUACCAACUGAAAUAAUAAUUAUAAAAUGAUUUUUUAUUUAUUUUGACAUACAAAUCCAAAACAAUAAAAUAUAUGUUUUUCCAGUUCAUUUGUUUGAAUUUAAUAUUUAUUUCUUAAAAGUUAAAUUCACUCUUGUAGGUAAACAUAAAUACAUAAUUACAAGUAUUAUUAAUACAAAUAUUGAUUAAACAUUUCACAUUAAAAUAAAAUAUGAUGUAUUGUAUAGGUAGGUAUAUUUAAUACUGAACAUUAAAUAGGAUAAUUAAUUGAUCAUUUUUUGUUUAAAUUUUAAAAUUCCCAAAACAAAUUUAAAACCAAAAUUAGCACCUAUAUCUUAAUUAUUUAAAUAUAGCCUAGAUAUUUUCUUUUCUUUAACCUAAUUUUUUUUACAGAAAACUAAUUUGAUGAGGGGGUUUAAAUUCAUGAACUACAAUAAAUAUCCAUUUUUGUUUAUUUAUCAAAACUUUAAAUAUUCUAUAGAAAUAAACAUUUGUUCAUUGUUCAAUUAUAUCAUAUAUGUAUUGAUUAAGUUAAAAUAAUGUGAGACCUUUAAUUACUAGCUCUGACCAACUAAAGAAUAUAACAAAAACAUGUUUAUUCAGACUGAUUAUAAUUAAUUUAGUUUUAGUUUUAAAGCACCUAAUUAUAAAACUAAAAGUGGAUAAUAUUCUGGAGAACACCUUGUUGCCAUCAUUUUAAACGUGAUGUACAUUAUUAUGAAAUGUUUUAAUAUUUUAAAAUUACUGUAAAUUUUUUAAAUGUUUAUUUUAUUUUAACCACAGUAUGGUGCCCUACUAAAUAUUAGUCUUCUUUUAGUUUUAUAGCAAGUGCUUUUAUUCUAAAACUAAAAUUAAACAAGGUUUACUCAGUCUGUAUUAUAAUAUUUUUGCUAUGUUGCUUAUUAAUUGGACUGAAAUAAUACAUAAGGGUAACAUAUCAUGUCCUUUUAAUAACUAGACAUAUUUAAUAUAACCUACCAUUUGAAGGAUUACUUUUAAAUUUUGAGAGUUUGAAACUCAUUUCUAAGUAUUAUUGUAUUAAUACUUGUACCAGUUGCAAAUCUGUCAUCAGUGGGAUAUUUUUAGAAAAUAUAAAAUAUUUUGAACAAAAAUAAUAAUGACUAGUAAAUUGUAUGUUGAGAUACUACACAUUGGUAUUAAGUACUUACCUAUAUUAAUAGUGUUGCAUGAUUUAUAAAUUAAUUGUGUAUAAUUAACAGUUAAUCAAAAUUGUUGAAAUUAAUUGUGUCAAGGUGUCAUAUAAGAAUAACUUAUAGAAAUUAAUAUAAAAAAUAAAUAUAUGUACUAAGGUAUCUUUUGGUGAUAGAAUUGUAUGAUCUUUAAUUAUUACUUUGUUUUGUAAAAUGGUAACUUUAAUAAUACCAAUUUGAUNCUACUACAUUUUUGAUAAGGAAUACCUAGGGAAUAAGGAAUUCAUACCAUCAAAUAUGUAGGUGUAGAAUAUGCACUAUAGUGUAAAUUCCAUGUAAAAUAGUGUACGUUUUAAUUACAUUUUAAAAAUGUACAAGUUAAUUAUAGGUAUUUAUCUACUUUGGAAUUGAUUUAUUUAUUUAACUGAGGAAACAAGAACAUUUCCUUUAUGUACUUAUGACUAAUGAUAUUUGAUGUACAUAAUAUUAUUUGUACACUAAAUAAAUGUGUAAAUAUAUCUGUCAAGUAUAUAUUGGUGUAUGAUUAAAAAAAAGGUAAAGCAGUUAAACUUCCACUUGAAAAUAAUAGUAUGCCAUUGUUGUCCACAUUGACUACUCAGUUUCCAUGAACGAAUGGCCUGAUAUUUCACACUGAAAAUAAAUGAUGGUGAGUUCCAUGUAUUUGACAUGUUAUUUAAAUUAAUACUGAACUGGGUUAUAAGUGCACUUUUCAAUGGAAGCACUUGCAUAUAAAAUCGCCAGUAAUGCUCUAGUAGGUAGUUUGUGGUCCUAUUUCAAUAGUAUUGCAAAUUAGGCACUCUC
RNAcentral lists this long non-coding RNA (2385 nucleotides) under Cinara cedri. Lineage: Eukaryota; Metazoa; Arthropoda; Insecta; Hemiptera; Aphididae. The record is from RNAcentral.